CCUACGGGCGGCUGCAGUGGGGAAUAUUGCACAAUGGGCGCAAGCCUGAUGCAGCCAUGCCGCGUGUGUGAAGAAGGCCUUCGGGUUGUAAAGCACUUUCAGCGGGGAGGAAGGCGGUGAGGUUAAUAACCUUAUCGAUUGACGUUACCCGCAGAAGCAGCACCGGCUAACUCCGUGCCAGCAGCCGCGGUAAUACGGAGGGUGCAAGCGUUAAUCGGAAUUACUGGGCGUAAAGCGCACGCAGGCGGUCUGUCAAGUCGGAUGUGAAAUCCCCGGGCUCAACCUGGGAACUGCAUUCGAAACUGGCAGGCUAGAGUCUUGUAGAGGGGGGUAGAAUUCCAGGUGUAGCGGUGAAAUGCGUAGAGAUCUGGAGGAAUACCGGUGGCGAAGGCGGCCCCCCGGACAAAGACUGACGCUCAGGUGCGAAAGCGUGGGGAGCAAACAGGAUUAGAUACCCCUGUAGUC
This 465-nucleotide ribosomal RNA is filed under the name uncultured Klebsiella sp. RNAcentral's name for it is "bacterial SSU rRNA". It matches the Rfam family "Bacterial small subunit ribosomal RNA", at positions 338 to 795 of the family's 1533-position model. Lineage: Bacteria; Pseudomonadati; Pseudomonadota; Gammaproteobacteria; Enterobacterales; Enterobacteriaceae. The record is from RNAcentral.